GGGUUUGUAGCUCAGCUGGUUAGAGCACACGCCUGAUAAGCGUGAGGUCGGAAGUUCAAGUCUUCUCAAACCCACCA
This 77-nucleotide transfer RNA is filed under the name Rickettsia rickettsii. RNAcentral's name for it is "tRNA-Ile". It matches the Rfam family "tRNA". From Rfam's summary of the family: Transfer RNA (tRNA) molecules are approximately 80 nucleotides in length. Their secondary structure includes four short double-helical elements and three loops (D, anti-codon, and T loops). Further hydrogen bonds mediate the characteristic L-shaped molecular structure. tRNAs have two regions of fundamental functional importance: the anti-codon, which is responsible for specific mRNA codon recognition, and the 3' end, to which the tRNAs corresponding amino acid is attached (by aminoacyl-tRNA synthetases). tRNAs cope with the degeneracy of the genetic code in two manners: having more than one tRNA (with a specific anti-codon) for a particular amino acid; and 'wobble' base-pairing, i.e. permitting non-standard base-pairing at the 3rd anti-codon position. Lineage: Bacteria; Pseudomonadati; Pseudomonadota; Alphaproteobacteria; Rickettsiales; Rickettsiaceae. The record is from RNAcentral. RNAcentral also lists the same sequence under 110 other names.